GCGGCAUAUGCCCUCUGAUCUCCGAGGCUUCAGAACAAUAGCACAACGAUGCUGCGCACAAGCCAAAAUCUUUGGUUUCCUUCACAGAAGGCCCAGAUAUUUUUCUUCGGAGUGGAUGGUUCCGAGCAAUGCAAUCCUGCAUCGAAUCUACAUGCUGUACUUUCGUUGCCUCCAGACUAGAACUCUGAUCUAGUUUCGUUCAAGGAGAUGUGUUGUGUACAUCACACGAGAGAUCAAAUCAUAUAUCAUCUGUCCACUCGGGCCAUUCUCCAUCUAGGCAGUAGACCACAACAAUCAGCAAAACAUCCUUCCCAGUGGCCCCUAAGCAUUUGUUAUGUGACAAGGCACAGCAGCUAAGUAGGUUGCUGGAGUUCUCAAGCUAGCUAUGAUUUAUAUAAAAAUUUUAUUGUUAUAGGUCAUUACAUUAUACAAUUCGUAGUCAAAGAUCGUCUUAACUGCAAAUUAAAAUUUGUGCCAAUUCAUGAUUGUAGGCUUGCAGUUUCUGGAGCAAAUAAACAAGGGUUGCAUUUAUUCUUGUUCUCUGUUCUUAUGUUCUUUUGGUUCAGUGAAAAUAAACAUUAGUAGCUGUUUGCUAUUUAGCUCAGGAAGCUCAGUUAGCCGCAAAUGAAUAAAAACACCAGAACUUAGUGAUCUCAAUCAUCAUCUUUCCUGUUCAACAGAACUUACAAAACGAAGCACAUUUACUGCAAGAAGAGCAGUCAUAAUUCAAUGAAAAAUUCUGAGUUUGCUAUAAAAUACAAAAGGUGAAACUGUAAUUACCUAAUUUGCAGUAACUAAGUUCACCAAAGUGCUGUGGGGCCAGUAUAUACCAGACAAGAAAUACAUUUUGGGCCUUAACUUACAAAAACACACACACAUAUAAACUUUCUUUUCUCGGCGUGGUGUCAUCUCUUCUGUGCAACCAUGGAAGUGAAUGAACAAAUGGCCUGCUGCAGUGCACCUCAUGGAAUCUGACAUCAACUUGAAGCUCGCUAAAUCUCUUGAUCCCACUCAUCAUGCAUAAGCCAACAGAGUAGCCAACACAACCCAGAAUACUAAGAGUGGGAGUGUCAAUGGUUGUUUUGUUAGAGGGCUUGCAUUGGGCAGCCAUGGAUAAUUUUCAGGAGAUGGCAUGACACAGUUAUCACCAUUGAAGUACACUCGACGUGGGAAGGCCCAUCCCUUUUCGAAGGUGAAAGCCUGGGAGUCCUUGCGAAGAAGUAGUUCUGAUUGCACAUUCCCAAGUUUACCAGCUUGCAUCAGCAAAUCAUUGUAGAAUUUUACACCCCAGAACAUUGCCGUAUCAUCUGAAAUGGGACAAGCAAACUACAUCAGGGGAGGGAAGGAGAUUAUUUUGAUUCCUCUUUUGAGGAAGACAAGUUAGUUUACUUACUUAUGCCACCACCAUAUGGGGUAAGUGGUUUGUAGUUGAAACUGAACAGCUGAGUGAUAUUAUCAAAGUUUGGAUGCUGAACGACUAAGUUCCACUGCGUGUAAUUCAUGCGGAAGUUGAAGUUUGUGAUAGUGAUUUUCA
Molecule: long non-coding RNA, 1534 nt
Organism: Panicum virgatum (switchgrass)
Lineage: Eukaryota; Viridiplantae; Streptophyta; Magnoliopsida; Poales; Poaceae
Exons: 2
Source: RefSeq, a predicted model, not a curated record